Molecule: long non-coding RNA, 6225 nt
Organism: Anolis carolinensis (green anole)
Lineage: Eukaryota; Metazoa; Chordata; Lepidosauria; Squamata; Anolidae
Source: Ensembl
AUGUCUAUGCAAUUUCAAGAUGAUACAGAUGGUAUACCUCCUUCUGAGGCUGAAAGUAGGAAUGAAAGGCCCCAAAGGAUAAAGCACCCUUCAGCCAAGAUGCUAGCCCAUCUAAUAGAUGAAAAGGAGCUCCUCCAUGUGAGGUUAGGUUCGGCAUGGGAGCGAAUUGUAACAUUGAUGGACAGAAUUGAGAGCUUGGGUAUUACAAGGGUGCCAUCCAUAUUACAGACCGACCUUGAAGAGACCUUCGGUCUCUGGAGGGGUUUGGUGUCUAAGAUAGUCCAGGUCCUCGAGCGCAUUAACGCCAAGGAUUCAGAGUUAGAAAUAGUGAGUGUCUUAGCUGACACUAAUGAGAAAGAAAAUAAGGUGAGGGCAAUUCUAGAUGCCUUGGAAUUUAGUUCUCCACCUGUUAAUCUAAGGUCUGAGCCAAAAGGAAAUCAGUCUUCCUUAUGCAGCCAUGAGACCAAUCUUUUAAAAUCACCUGCUGUGGCACUUAGUCUUAAGUCCAACCGCUCUAGCCAGGUAUCUAAACUAAGGGAGUGUGCAUCAUCUAAACAUAGCCACUCUAGCAAGUCUUCUGCUGCUGGGAGUGCCAUCUCUUCCCUAGCUGCCUUGCACAUUAAGGAGGCUGCACGUCUGGAGCUAAAGAGCAAGGUAGCGGGGGCGGAGGCUGAUGCUAAGGCAGCUGAUCUCACCCUUCCCUUUAAAGAAGAAGAGCAACGACUGCAAAGCAAAAUGCAAAUAGAACAGGCCCAAAGGCAAUGUGAAAUAGAAAUGCUUAGAAUAAAGAUGGAUGCCGCAGCCAAAAGGGUAAGGGCUGAGACUUUGGCCAAAGCCCUAAUUGAGCCACUCACAGAAGAAAAUGUAAGCCAGUUACCAAUACAGGAUCCUUCUGCCAAAGUGUUUGCGCACCUUGGCAGCAUGAACAGCCAGUUUUCGGAUGAGGAACAGGGAGACUUCUCUCCUUACCCAGAGCAGGGCCCCAAAGUCACUUUUGAGUUUCCUGCAGAGCAGAGCGUCAUAGCGGGGAGCUCACCCUUGCUCGAGCUACCUGUGCCUCCUGCUAAAACCCUAGGUCAGUCAAUCAGGGCCUCAAGGCCGAGUGCUAGUUGGCCCCUACAGACAGCUGCACAGGGAACCAUCGAUUCGUCAGUGGUCGAUGUCAUCCCUCCAAGAGGCCAAAGGUUGACGCAAGGUACACGGUGGGAGUCCACUCCACAACAGCAAACUCCUCAAUUGUUCCCUUCGACGCCAGAGUCCCAGCUUGUCUCCAUCAUCAGAAGCCCCAGAAGAGAUCUUAAGGACAAGGGUGUCGAAAAGUUUUCGGACAAGCCUGAGGAAUUUCUUCUCUGGAAGGCCACCUUCCAGAGAGCAAUCAGAGACUUAAAGUUAUUGCCUGAGGAAGAACUGACUCUUCUGGCUGCAUGGUUGGGCCCAGCCUCAUCCUCACAAGUUAAGAAGAUCUACGCAGCCCACGUAGCCGAUCCCGACAAAGCCCUGGAAAAGGCCUGGGCCAGGUUGCAGCAGAGGUAUGGGGCCAGCACAGAGAUUGAAGCAUCUCUUAUGGACAAGCUCCAAAGGUUCCCAGCUUUAAAACUCAAAGACUUCAAACUCUUGUGGGACCUUAGCGAUCUCCUUACGGAAUUAGAGUCGGCCAAGGAGAAUCCAGAACUGCCCGGUUUGAAGUGCCUCGAUCAGCACCUGUCCCAGAGGCAGAUCUUGACCAAGCUGCCCUUCACUUUGCAAGAACGCUGGGGACAGGAGGUCUUCAACUACAAGGAGGCCCACUCCCAGGCAUACCCUCCAUUUUCUCAUUUGGUCCAGUUCAUCACAAGGGCGGCCAGAGAAAGGAAUGAUCCGCAGACGGGCCUCCCCACCUUAUACCAAGGGACCCAGCCAGAGAAGGCACCUGAAGUGGACAAGAAACCACCUAGAGAGGCCAAUAGACCUGUCAGCGUAAAGGCAGUCGAAACUCAACUCAAGACUGACGAACCCAGGUCGGAGGUAAAAGAGUUGCUUUGCCCUAUUCACCAAAAGCCUCACAGCUUGGCCAACUGCAGGGAGUUUAGUAGAAAGACAUACAAAGAAAGGCAACAGCUAGUUCAAAAGCAGGGAAUCUUCUUUAGAUGCUGUGGAGCAACUCCACACUUUGCAUCCAACUGCAAAGAAAACAUCAAGUGUGAGAAAUGCAACAGCCUCAAGCAUUGCACCGCAAUGCACAACUCCAAUAUCAUCUCCCACCCCAAAGAGAACGCUUCACCAAAAGAAAAGUCAGCAGUCGAAGACACCGACAAGCCAGCCGCACCAGAGAUGCAGGUGGAAGUUUCAGCAGUCGCCUGUACAGAGCUGUGUUCUGACUCGCACCAGUACAGAGUUUGUCAUCCUAUCUGCCUAGCGGAUGUAUAUCCAGCCAAGAGCCCUUGGCUUAGAAAGAGACUCUAUGUGGCCCUGGAUUCACAGAGCGACGCCUCCCUGGCUACUCCAGAGUUCUUCCGCAUGUUUGACCUUAAAACCAAGAUGGUCGACUACACUAUGACUACGUGUGCAGGAAAAAAGAAGUUGCAGGGUCGCAUAGCAUUUGGCUUCGUUGUCUCCUCUUGCGACCAGAAGAGACAGUUCAAGUUGCCAGACCUGAUUGAGUGUUCCUCUAUUCCCCGGAACAAAAGGCAGAUUGUCACCAGAGAAGUUGUGGAGGCUCAUCCACACUUGCGAAGGCUAAAGAAUGUUAUACCAGCCUUUCGGCCAGAUGUGGACAUUGCCCUUUUGCUUGGCUCGGACUGCCCGAGCUUGUUCUGUGUGAACGACCAAGUUAAAGGACCUCCAGGUGCACCUAUCGCACAACAAUUGCCAUUAGGCUGGACAGUCAUAGGCCCAGUGUGCAUAAACAAGAUGCACCCACUAUCGUCGUUGGACUCCAAUCAAGCACAGGUGCUUAAAGGUGGACGUCCUACACUUGUGCGCAGUUGCCUAAGUCAUAUCUCGGUCCACUGCCAAGCAAUAACUCCAGAGUAUUCCUCCAUCUUCAAAGUCUCUGAGAGAGACGAAGCCACAGCGCUCUCGAAAGAUGAGCAAAGGUUUUCGGACAUUAUGAAUGCUCAAGUCUCACGAAGUGCAGAGGUGAAAGCCUGCAAAUCAACCACAGAAAUCAAGAUGGGCCAAAGAUCUUGUCUGGAACGACACCAUUUUGAACGUUUUUCGGAAUGGCACAGUCUUCUUAGAGCAGUUGCUAGGCUUAUACAUCGCUUAGUCUGCAAAGAUAGUCAGCCUUUGCAAGUUCAGGACAUGUUGAAGGCUAAGGGAGUAAUAUUCAGGUCAGUUCAGAGGCAUGAGUUUAGUCUAGAAAUAGCCAGGUUAGAACAAGGGCUUGACACCCCCAGCCGGAGUUUCUUGCGUGAGUUAAACCCAUUUCUAGACAAGGAGGGCAUUUUAAGAGUGGGAGGGAGGUUAGCUAAGGCUAAACUCAAAGUGUGUACAAAGAACCCCAUCAUUGUACCCCCCAAUAGCCAUAUUGCUUUGUUGUUGGUUCGUCACUACCAUGAGAAAAUCCAUCAUCAGGGUAGAACUCUAACUGAGGCAGCCCUUAGAAAUGAAGGUCUGUGGGUGGUAAAUGCUAAAAGUUUGGUCAACAGUUGUAUUUUCAAAUGUGUCAAAUGUCGGCGACUCAGACGAAACUGUCAAAGUCAGUUGAUGGCAGAACUACCUCAGGAUAGGACUUUGACAGACCCACCCUUUUCCCAUGUGGGAAUCGAUGUGUUUGGUCCUUGGGAGGUUGUCACUAGGAAAACCAGGGGUGGUGUUGUAAAUAACAAGAGGUGGGCAGUUUUGUUUACUUGUUUUGUUUACUUGUUUAGUAAUACGAGCUGUCCAUAUAGAAGUCAUAGAAGGGAUGGACACUUCAUCAUUUUUAAACGCAUUAAAAAGGUUCAUAGCCCUCAGAGGGCCAAUUAAGUCAAUUCGGUCGGACUGUGGCACCAAUUUUGUAGGUGCGACCAAAGAACUCAAUUGUGUGUCUAGGUUUGGGAGAGACCCAAAGGUUCAGAACUUUACGAAUACUGAACAAAUUAUGUGGACUUUCAAUGUUCCUCACGCCUCCCACAUGGGUGGUGUUUGGGAGAGGAUGAUUGGUAUUAGUCGCAAAAUCCUUAAUGCCAUGCUUUUGAGUCAUAGGUCAUUGACGCAUGAUGUUUUGGUGACACUUAUGGCGGAAGUUACCGCAAUUAUCAACAACCGGCCGCUGGUUCCCCUUACCAGUGACCCUGAGAACUUACAACCACUGACUCCUGCACUUAUUUUGACACAAAAGGUGCCAGGAUGGAAGGACAUCAUGUUGCCAGUUCCGGACGGAACUCACCGUGCCCUGUGGAAACAGGUGCAGUCCUUGGCCAACCACUUUUGGAAAAGGUGGAAAGCUGAGUACUUAAGCCAGCUUCAAGCUAGAAGAAUCUGGCAAAGCCCACAGGACAACAUUGAGGUUAACAACGUUGUGUUGUUAAAGGACAAAGACUUGCCCCGCCAUGCGUGGCCCAUGGGCAUUGUAUUAAAGACCUUUCCUUGCCCGGAUGGUAAGGUCAGGAAAGUUCAAUUAAAGACUUGCAACAGAGACAAAGUGUCCAUUUUGGACAGACCAAUUAGUGACCUCGUGUUGCUUAUUGGAGAUGUUUAAAGUUCUAGUGUUUGUAUUGUCAUAUGUGCAAAGGUGUUUGUAUGUUUUUGAGUGGUAAAUUCCCACAUCCUGGGAAUUUAAGCGGGGAGUGUUCCGUCCCCCAGGACGAUGGUUUGCCUUACUUAUUGGUCGUUUGAUUGUUUUCCCUCCUUUGCAUUUUGUUUCAGCCUCUGGCUGCAAAAGCCCAGGAAAGGUGGCUUGAAGUCUGCAAGAGCUGGCUGCAGUUUUCUUUGCAAUGAUUGGUCAAAGAGUACAACAUCUUAGGACCGCCCUUUUUACCAGGGUCUAGUCUCCAUUUUAGAGUUUCAUUCUGGCUAUAGUCUUCCAACGUGCUGGAGCUGUGCAAGGCUAACUGGGACAAAUCAUCCUCAAAACCAGGCCAAUCUAAGCCUAUCCAAAUUAGAUAAGUAUUGAGUUAUACUGAUCUGGAAUAGGAAAUCUAGUUAGAGGAGCAGGGUUAUUCCAUCGCUUCUAGAACUAAUCUUUGCUGUAAAGAUAGGGAAGGAAAGAGUUUCUCCUUCUAAUAUAGACAGCGUGAUUAGGGUAUAGUGGUUUUAUAAUCACCUUUGCCUUCUGGAACCAGGGAUAAUUCUGCAACUAAAACCUAUGGAAAUUUGUUUCAUUUUCUGCAACUUUAAGAUCUGUGCCAGGUUUACAACCUUGUAUGAAUAAACAUCCUUUUUUGAAGUUCUCCAGACUCAGUCGUUCAAUAUUUUAGGACAGCUUAUAGGGAUUUGCAGUUCGCCCGGAUAAAGGACGGCACGUUUCAGCUUUAUAGUUUUUUUUUAUUGUCUGGCGGACGGCACAAUCAUCAACAAAAUCCCUACUAAUCCAAAAAUCCAGGCACUUCAGCCCUGCAAGCCUAACUCUGUACAAACUGCCAAUAUCCAAAUGACCAAAUGAUUUUCUUUUGGAUGGAGGAACUACUAAAUUCAUCUUCAGUUUCUCCUACUUUUAUUUCUUUUAAUGGGAUACAAAAAGGGUGAAACAGAAUUGACUCCUUGUUCAAAGCUUUCUCCAUUGUCAUAUUUUUCUAGGAGUUGGCAGUGUUGUUCCUACCAUGAUUUCCAACAUAAAGAAGAAAACCUUCAAACUCUCAGGUAGGUUUGGAUUACUCAUUUAUGCUGCUUGAACCCUGCCAUUCUGCUCUGUAACAGCACAGCAAGUACAAAUUGAGGAUCCCUCAUCCAGAUUUACAAAAUCAAAAAUACUCCAAAAUCAAAAAUUAUCCACAUGAAUGCCACAGUGAAUAACACUUUUGCUUUCUGCUGAUUCAAUCUGCAUAUUCUUUGUAUCAUGCAAAAAGUAUUUAAAAUAAAAGUAUGAAAUUACUUGAGGUUCUGUGUAUAAGAUGAAAAUUAAACAUAAAUGAAUUUCCUGUUUAGACUUGGGCCCCAUCUCAAAAAUAUCCCAUUAUGAGGUAAAAGGUUAAGGUAAAGGUUUCCCCUGACAUUAAGUCCAGUCGUGUCCGACUCUGCGGGUUGGUGCUCAUCUCCAUUUCUAAGCCGAAGAGCCGGCGUUGUCCAUAGACGCUUCCAAGGUCAUGUGGCCGGCAUGACUGC